UCGGACACAUUGCUCGGUACUCACACUCCACUCUCAGUGGAGAUAGCCUUUGGCAAGUCUCAAGUAGCGUCGACCAUCGCCUCCACUGCCUGCCCGACCCGAGUCCUGACCGCCGGCUCCCAGGGCCACCCCCUCACCGGCUUCCCCAUGGCCGGCGGGAGGAGAUCCCCCGCCCCUGCCUCCCGCUGCUGCAGCGAGUUCUACCUCUCUCAUGUCUCCUUACCGCUGCAGCAAGAACCAGACCUUCCCCUGCUUCCCUACCGCUGCAGCGAGUUCUGUUCAGCAAAGAUCACGCCCGCAACCCGAUUGAUGGAUCCACAACACCGGACUCCUCCUCCUGCGCGAGAAACCUAUGAAUCGGAGUAAGUGCAGACGGACGCCAGCGUGCUUCGACGGGCAGUGUUGCGAGCAUCCAGCAAUGGAUGGUCGACGUCCCUCCCCACCUCGCUCGUCGUGGCCUAUCGGAGAAUCCCGCCCGGCAAAUCGCUCAUAUCCUUCUGCUUCCACGCCUCUCCAACAGGUCCGCAUCUCUAUAAGAACUCCCUGAAGGUGCUGAUGAUGGAGUUGUAAACUUUUUCGCCGAUGCUGACAUACUUGCAUAUAUCCUGACUGGCCAAAUGACCUCGGUGAGAAAUCUAUGGAGGUUUGUUUCAUAGUGGAUGUAUGCUGCGGAGUCUGCUAAGGCUUCAGGGAAUGAUAACUUCAGGUUAAUUCUAACUUGGCUAAGCUCCACCCUUUUUAUAAGGAACGGGUCCUCACCCAGGCACACACCCUGACCUCUGCAACAUCAGGAAUGUCCAACUGCAAAAUGAGCUUCUGGGUUCUCAUCAUGGACAACCGAGCGUGCAAUCUCAUGUAGCUGGUGCAAGUAUUUUUCUUGAAGUAAUGUGAGCUCCCCCUGUAGAGAAAAUGGUAAUUGUUCCAUCAGUGUCUUCUGUCUACCAUGAGUAUGCAAUGAAAAGCCAAAAUACCAGUGGUUAUCUUUAGGGUAAUAUGAAUGAAGAACUGAGCAACGGUUGGUGAGACAUAGGGAACAUGUUUUCACAUAUGCCCAAAUCAUGAUAAGUGAGCAACAAUGAUAGCAGAAAAAACAUGGCUGAUUCGAGAGGGAAGAGGGUGAUGGUGCAUCAGCUAGUGAUUACAUACCUGAACUAUCUGAAUCUGAAUUUCGAUGAUGAUCCUCCUUGCGACGUCCCUUGCUGGUUUGUUUGAGGAGAAUGAGCAGGUUGAAAAAUGCUUUAGGUUAUUUCUAUGAAUGCUUUCUUCUCGCAAUACUUUUCAGGUAUUAAGGGCAAUGGUUUAAUUACCAUUACCAUAACGGGGUGCUUGGGGCGAAAUUGGGAAAUGUUUUAAAUACCAUAGCGUGAUGGAUGGGGAGUUAAUUUCAGUCUGCCGAGAUACUAUUGAGAUACUAUUAAAGAUUUUGGGCAAUGUUUUAAUUA
This is a long non-coding RNA of Lolium perenne, 1442 nucleotides long. RefSeq lists it as uncharacterized. NCBI's taxonomy places the organism in Eukaryota, Viridiplantae, Streptophyta, Magnoliopsida, Poales, Poaceae. The record is from RefSeq and is a predicted model, not a curated record.